GCCAGGUCCUCCCUGCCCCUUGUCUGGGCAUCUUCAGCCUUCACCACCCCCCACAGAUGCUUGGUGGCUGCAGCCAGAGGAACAGAUGGGGCACAAUUGCUGAGCCUCAGUGAAUGGUACCCGGCACACAGCCGCUGUGGAAACGGCCCAGGCGAGAACCACUGAAGCAGGCUUUCUGAAAAGCUGCCCUGGUAACACCGCUAAAAUUGGAAAAGAGGCAGGGUGUGUAGGGGGGCAGAGUGGGAGGCUGGUGGGAGAGAAGAAGGACGAUCAAAAACAGAGAAGGGAACUAAAACAGACUAUUGGAAUAAAAUUUCUUACCAGUUAAAAACUGGGCUUCCCAGGAAAAAAGCUAAAACACUGUGGCUAGUGAGCAAAACCCCAGGAAGGGAAGCCUUUGUGACCUCAGGGAUUGGGCAAAAAGGCCAAGAGUCUGUGGUAUCUCAUCCUGACACUGUUUCUAAGCCCAUAGUCUCCUCCCAGCUGUGGCUCCCACCAAGAGCCUUUCCAGUAUGAAAUACAGGGGGCAGGGGGAAGUGUGUGGAGGAGGAAAGCCCCAGGGGCUGAGGGAGGUGUUGUUGUCCCAACCCCUGCUGUUCCUCUAGGCAACCAAUACACCACAUGACAGUCAAUGGCCUGUGGAUGGAGCCAAACUGUGGUGCUCUGCCGCCUGGGUCCCCUUUAAACACUUCUGCCGCCAUUUCUGUGCCAGCUCUAGUGUCUACAUCUUGACUGUUUCUAUCGUCACUCCUCACCCGUCAUGCUUUCCCAAGUCAGGUAUUGUAACAGAACUAGAAGUAGUAACAAUAACUUGUAACGUGAAGAGCUGCUAUGUGACAGUCAUGACGCUAUAUAUUAUUUCAUGUAAUCCCCUUAACAACCUUCUGGAACAAGCAUUAUCUCCACUUUGCAGGGCACAUCUGACUCAAGUCAGAUGGGAGAGGCAUCCUGCUGCAUUUAUCCUCAAGGAAGAAAAUCACAGACAGGCAAAGUGCAGCACUGCUCAUCCCAGGCACCCACAGUCUCCUCACCCAGGGGACCUUGCUGACACAAUGACAAAGGUGGAAGAUGGAAUGAGUGCACCUGGAGGAGAGCUGAAAACUCACCUGUAGAGGCUCAAAAUCUCGACUGUGCUUCCCUCCUUUCCAAUCUCCUUUACCUCCAAACUCCAUAACUGAGCCCCUACAUCUUUACACAUGGCAUGUCAACUAGAUUCUUAGGAAACAGAAACUCAGACUUAA
Long non-coding RNA from Felis catus (domestic cat), 1241 nucleotides. RefSeq lists it as uncharacterized. The transcript is spliced from 2 exons. Lineage: Eukaryota; Metazoa; Chordata; Mammalia; Carnivora; Felidae. The record is from RefSeq and is a predicted model, not a curated record.